UACGAAGGGGGCUAGCGUUGUUCGGAAUUACUGGGCGUAAAGCGCGCGCAGGCGGUCCUUCAAGUCAGAGGUGAAAGCCCAGAGCUCAACUCUGGAAUGGCCUUUGAGACUAGAGGACUUGGGUACGGGAGAGGUGAGUGGAAUUCCGAGUGUAGAGGUGAAAUUCGUAGAUAUUCGGAAGAACACCAGUGGCGAAGGCGACUUACUGGACACAUAUUGACGCUGAGGUGCGAAAGCGUGGGGAGCAAACAGG
RNAcentral lists this ribosomal RNA (253 nucleotides) under uncultured bacterium. RNAcentral's name for it is "partial 16S ribosomal RNA". It matches the Rfam family "Bacterial small subunit ribosomal RNA", at positions 524 to 776 of the family's 1533-position model. The record is from RNAcentral.